RNAcentral lists this ribosomal RNA (352 nucleotides) under uncultured bacterium. RNAcentral's name for it is "partial 16S ribosomal RNA". It matches the Rfam family "Bacterial small subunit ribosomal RNA", at positions 338 to 706 of the family's 1533-position model. The record is from RNAcentral.
CCUACGGGAGGCAGCAGUAGGGAAUUUUGCGCAAUGGGGGAAACCCUGACGCAGCAACGCCGCGUGAUUGAUGAAGCCCUUCGGGGUGUAAAGAUCUGUCAGUGGGGACGAAACUUGACGGUCCCCUCAGCUGAUGCAUCUGCCAACUGCGUGUCAGCAGCCGCGGUAAUACGGGGGAGGCGAGCGUUGUCCGGAAUCAAUGGGCGUAAAGAGUUCGUAGGUGGUAAGGUAAGUCUGGUGUUAAAGGCAGAGGCUCCACCUCUGUUCGGCAGUGGAUACUGGCGGGGUUGAAUGCGGUAGAGGUAAAGGGAAGUCCUGGUGUAGCGGUGAAAUGCGUAGAUAUCAGGAAGAA